Molecule: ribosomal RNA, 779 nt
Filed under: uncultured Neocallimastigales
Lineage: Eukaryota; Fungi; Neocallimastigomycota; Neocallimastigomycetes; Neocallimastigales
Description: partial large subunit ribosomal RNA
Rfam family: Eukaryotic large subunit ribosomal RNA
Source: RNAcentral
GCAUAGCGACUAUCGUGGCAUAUCAAUAAGCGGAGGAAAAGAAACUAACAAGGAUUCCCCUAGUAACGGCGAGUGAAGCGGGAAGAGCUCAAAUUUGAAAUCUUCAAGGGUUCUACCUUGACGAAUUGUAGUUUAAAGAAGUGUUUUCUGUUGGAGUUUUGGUAAAAGUUCUUUGGAAUAGGACAUCAUAGAGGGUGAGAAUCCCGUAUUUGACCAUUACUUUCCAGCUGUGUGAUACACUUUCAAAGAGUCGGAUUGUUUGGGAAUGCAGUCCAAAAUGGGUGGUAAAUUUCAUCUAAAGCUAAAUACUGGCGAGAGACCGGAUAGCGAACAAGUACCGUGAGGGAAAGAUGAAAAGAACUUUGAAGAGAGAGUUAAACAGUACGUGAAAUUGUCAAAAGGGAAGCGUUUGACACCAGUGUUGUUUUCUCGAAAAUCAAUUAAAAAUGAUGGGAUUUUGUGUUGUAUUGACUUUAUCAGCUUUCUGCACUUUUUUCCUAUCUUUUUUAAUGCACUUUUCGUUUAACAAGUCAACAUCAAUUUCUUUUGUUGUAAAAGAGUCAUUGGAAGGUGGCUUUCUUUUCGGAGAAAGUGUUUAUAGCCUUUGGCUUCUGCAAUCGGAGAGAUUGAGGUCUGCAGCGUAGAUCCUUCGGGGUUAGAUAGCAUUUGUGCUAAGUUAUAGUUCUUUAUAGACAACUUGUUGACUAUGAUCAGUCCUGUAGCUUACUCGCUUAUGCUAUUUUACCUACGCUUAGGAUGUUGACGCGCGUGUGUGCGUG